This 58-nucleotide transfer RNA is filed under the name Agama robecchii. Its description in RNAcentral is "tRNA-Ser". The record is from RNAcentral. Lineage: Eukaryota; Metazoa; Chordata; Lepidosauria; Squamata; Agamidae.
AAGAAUUAACAUUAGGGCUGCUACCCUUAACCACUGAACUUAACUGAACAGAAUUCUU